CAGCAGCCGCGGGAAUACGAAGGGGGCUAGCGUUGUUCGGAUUUACUGGGCGUAAAGCGCACGUAGGCGGACUUUUAAGUCAGGGGUGAAAUCCCGGGGCUCAACCCCGGAACUGCCUUUGAUACUGGAAGUCUUGAGUAUGGUAGAGGUGAGUGGAAUUCCGAGUGUAGAGGUGAAAUUCGUAGAUAUUCGGAGGAACACCAGUGGCGAAGGCGGCUCACUGGACCAUUACUGACGCUGAGGUGCGAAAGCGUGGGGAGCAAACAGGAUUAGAUACCCCAGUAGUCCCUGUCUCUUAUAC
This 301-nucleotide ribosomal RNA is filed under the name uncultured bacterium. RNAcentral's name for it is "partial 16S ribosomal RNA". It matches the Rfam family "Bacterial small subunit ribosomal RNA", at positions 509 to 807 of the family's 1533-position model. The record is from RNAcentral.